UGGCGUCGUGGAGCUCACUCCCAACCCCUGUGACAUACCUAUACGUUGCCUCGGCGGAUCAGCCCGCGCCCCGUAAAACGGGACGGCCCGCCCGAGGACCCCUAAACUCUGUUUUUAGUGGAACUUCUGAGUAAAACAAACAAAUAAAUCAAAACUUUCAACAACGGAUCUCUUGGUUCUGGCAUCGAUGAAGAACGCAGCAAAAUGCGAUAAGUAAUGUGAAUUGCAGAAUUCAGUGAAUCAUCGAAUCUUUGAACGCACAUUGCGCCCGCCAGUAUUCUGGCGGGCAUGCCUGUUCGAGCGUCAUUUCAACCCUCAAGCUCAGCUUGGUGUUGGGACUCGCGGUAACCCGCGUUCCCCAAAUCGAUUGGCGGUCACGUCGAGCUUCCAUAGCGUAGUAAUCAUACACCUCGUUACUGGUAAUCGUCGCGGCCACGCCGUUAAACCCCAACUUCUGAAUGUUGACCUCGGAUCAGGUAGGAAUACCCGCUGAACUUAAGCAUAUCAAUAAGCGGAGGAA
Molecule: ribosomal RNA, 520 nt
Filed under: Fusarium cf. incarnatum
Lineage: Eukaryota; Fungi; Ascomycota; Sordariomycetes; Hypocreales; Nectriaceae
Description: eukaryotic LSU rRNA
Rfam family: 5.8S ribosomal RNA (bases 153-306)
Source: RNAcentral